GACACUUUGCUGAGGCUGAGGAGCCCCCUCUUCCGGAGAAUCACUGAUCUCUCAAAAUUUGGUCAAGUUCUACAGUUUACUUUGCUGUAUAACUCCUUUUCUGGAGUUUUGCUGGCUUUCAACAAGGAAGGCAUGUUUUCCUGCUUCCAUGACGAUGGAAGGCAGGCAGCUCCUGUCUGGACGUUCCGCUCACUUCCAACAGGGAAGCCAAGUCUGAGCAUUCUUUGUUUCUAGGAUGGCAAGCACAGCCUUCAGCCUGGGCCCCACUCCUAGGACACAGUUGAAGACACUGGUUAUUUUAUCAAGCCCUUGACUGGAAUUGCAUACUUUCAGAUAUAAGCAAACUGCUUUAAGGAAUCAAAGUUAUCUUAGAAAGCCAAUAAAAGCCUGUUGGGAAAGCUGACCCCAUACCUUGUCUACUCAGCUCCUAGAUAGGUUCCUGACCUGUGGUGAGCAUCUUUUCCAUAUUCAUGACCUACCACUGAUAUUCUGUGGAACUGAACUAAAACCAGGGUCGCCAAAGCCCUGCUGGGGGUGUGGAGGAAGGUGAGAGAGAGCGGAGGGGAUGGACACAGUAUUCCUGUCACCGUGCAGCUGCAGCUCUGCUCUGAGGCACAUUUGUCCUCUGGAUUCCGCAGAACUUCUCCCCAGGUCAUCCUUCAGCAGCAGCCCCUCCACCUGGAGCGUUACUGGUGGACAGUGUGGCCUCAGGCACUGUCUCUGCUCUCAUCUGCUCUGGCCAGGGCAGCAGGAUUGGUUUCAUUCAAAAGAUAACUGAUUUUCUUGGUGGGGGCAAUAGUGAGCAGGGCAGAGGAGAGGCACUUACGGGUCCUAUUGGCUUUCUUCCUGCCUGAGGCUAGUCCUCCUUGAGCCAAUCUGUCUCUUCUAGAACAUUCAGUUCCUCUGUACUUUCCAUUUCUGGCUCCUACCCUGUAGUCAUAAGUAUGCCAGACGCUUAAAACAAACACUUUGCCACAAUCUUUAAUCUCUCCUACCAUCAAGUACCACCCAAAUUAGGGUUAGCUGAGCCUGGUGUCUCAUGCCUGUAAAUCCCAGCACUUUGGGAGGCUGAGGCAGGAGCAUCACCUGAGCCCAGGAGUUCCAGACCAUCCAGGGCAGCAAAGUGAGAACCUGCCUCUAAAAAACUAAAAAUAAAAUAACUUAAAAAAAUUUAGCCAAGCAUGGUGGCAUACACCUUGUAGUCCCAGCUAUUUAGGAGGCUGGAGGAUUGCUUGCGCCUGGGAGGUCAAGGCUAUUUUGAGAUAGGGUCUCACUCUGUUUCCCAGGCAAGAGUGAGACCCUAUCUCAAAAAAGAGAUAUUAAGGUCAUAUUUGCUGUUUACUUCUCUAUCUUUUGUUCAUUCUUUUUUUGGUGACAGCUUAAUUGAGAUAGAAUCCAACAUAUCAUACAAUUUACCCAUUGAAGUGUGUAAUUCAAUAGGCUUUUUUUUUUGAGAUGGAAUCUUGCUCUGUUGCUCAGGCUGGAGUGCAGUGGCAUGAUGUCAGCUCACUGCAACCUCUGCCUCCCAGGUUCAAGAGAUUCUCUGCCUCCGCCUCCUGAGUAGCUGGGACUACAGGCACCUGCCAUCAUCUCAGGCUAAUUUUUUUGUAUUUUUAGUAGAGGUGGGGUUUCACCACAUUUGCCAGGCUGUUCUCGAACUCCUGACCUCGUGAUCUGCCUGCCUUGGCCUCCCAAAGUUCUGAGAUUACAGGCAUAGCCACCACACUCGGCCAAUUCAAUAGUUUUUAAUAUAUUCACAGAUUGCCAUCAUGCCCAAAGGAAACCCUGUGCCCAUUAGGAGUCACUCUCAUUCCCUCCUCUGUCCAUCUGUAGGCAACCACUAACCUACUUUUUGUAUAUUCUGUACCAUUCGUAUAAAUGGAAGCAUACAUUAAAUACAUGGUCCUUUGCAUCUGGCUUCUUUCACUUUGCAGAAUGUUUUCAAGAUUCAUCCGCGUUGUUGAAAGAGCUUUUUAUCAUUCUUCUUUUACAAUGUCCACAUGCAAGUUAUAAUACAUGUGUAGGGAUUCAAUUAUCUGGGCCAUUUGCAAAUAAGUUAGCUUAUGCACAUGUAAUACAAGCAAAAUUAAGUGCAGCUAACGAGUAUUAAUAGAGAGAUGUAGCAAGCCGUAGGAAAGGAAAUUCAGCAGUUGAAGAGGUUUUGUGGCCUGAAAGUCUAUAUAGAAUUGUUUGAUCAAAAAGGCCCCAAGAUAUCCUCAAGUACAUCACUGAGUCUACACAGUGACCAUCGAUGCCACCACCUGGUGUGGAAGGGCCUGGUGAUAGUUCACUCACUAAUCAGAUCCGUUUGGACACAUUCAAGUCAGCAGAAGCACCUUCAACUCUAACAGAACACCUGGGGCACCCCUGGACACCGCUGACCUCUCUAGCUUUGAGGACGACCCACGUGGAGAUUGUAGUGUAGCCACAUUCUCCACGUGAAACCCAGUAAAAACUCCGUACCGCACAUUUACGAAGAAGGCUCGUUGAUAGAUUCUAUUGGUCUUCACUCUUUUAAGGAUUGACUUUCCUUUUUGUCUUUGAAAAUGAUCCAUCCUUGUUAUGAAAAUAUUCAAAUGAUAUAGAAAAGCAUAGAUAAGAGAAGAAAAAUCACCCCAAAUUUCACCACCACCCAAAAAGCUAGUAUCACCUUUGGUAAGCAUCCUUCCACUCGUCAGCGGUGGCCGAGCACACAGAUGGAAGGACAGCUGGAUGGUGGCUAGAAACCCAAACAACAGAUCAUACUAUAUGUGCUGUUUCUUUUUUUUUUUUUUUGAGACGGAGUUUCGCUCUUGUUACCCAGGCUGGAGUGCAAUGGUGUGAUCUCAGCUCACCGCAACCUCCGCCUCCUGGGUUCAGGCAAUUCUCCUGCCUCAGCCUCCCGAGUAGCUGGGACUACAGGCACGCGCCACCAUGCCCAGCUAAUUUUUUGUAUCUUUAGUAGAGGCGGGGUUUCACCAUGUUGACCAGGAUGGUCUCGAUCUCAUGACCUCGUGAUCCACCCGCCUUGGCCUCCCAAAGUGCUGGGAUUACAGGCUUGAGCCACCGUGCCCGGCCUAUAUGUGCUGUUUCUUCAUGUUAAAUACUAAUUUUUGUUUCAAGAAAAAGAAAACAAAUGUAAUGGACUGGACUGCUAACAUUAUGUAAAUAUUUCUUCAGAUUUGUUCCCAAAAGUUCCCUCUAAUGUUACAUAAUUACAAUAACCACAAAGAGGUCAAGACUCUAUAUUCUUUUAGCCACAGUUUCAAAUUUUAGACAAUCUGGACCAACUCUGCUGGACGAAACCUGGUGAGAAGCACUCUUCCAUCUCUUCCCGCCUCCCUUCUGCCGCCUCCUCAUUUUUUCCCUUACCUACUGCAAAUGUAAUUCUUCCAGGGUCGGUUUGUUUGCUUUUAUUUAAUGAUUUCUUUGGGUUGAUGCACUGGAGAUUUACGUUCACCACCUGGCCUUUAGCCAUGCCUUCUGUCCUUGUCACUGAAAUUAUAUGUUCACCUCUGAUCAGAUUAUUAAUUUGGGAGGAAAAUGUUUAUUCUAAAAUAACAAACAAUUAGAGAUGUACUUCUAAUCUCGUACAAGUAGGUUAGCAUAACAAAUUCUCUUGAGUCAUUUCUUUACAAUUUUAAGCUAUCAUCUAAAAUUAUUGUUUUGAAGAGUCUAUUUAUUAAAAAUGAUUCACUGGUAACACAAAGAGCUACAUAAAACAUAUUUCUAGGAUUUCUCUCCUAAGAUUCAAGUGUUUACUGAGCCUGACCAUUGGAGGUCUUGCAGACUGUCAGAUUCCAGCAGGUGCAAAUAGAGCCACUUUUUUCCUGCCACCCCUGAGUCUCACAGGCAAACUUGGCUCUGGCUCUGCUCCUGUGCUCUGCAGACUCGAGGCCCACAGCCAUCCAAGAAGAACCUAAGAUAUAUCCUAGAUUCCUCUCUGUCUUACUCCCUGGUCACAUCCAUUCAUCACGUAAGUAGAGACUUAUGGCCUGCAAAGCCCAAAUUAUCUGCUAUCUGGUUUGUACAGAAACAUUUGCUGGCCCUUGAAAUGGACUAUGCUUUCCAGUCUUCAUAAAUACACUUGAGUUCUGGGAGUCUCUGAUUUGAGAAGGUCAUUACUAAAGAAUUUUCAGCCCGGCACGGUUCCCUUGCAUGACCAUGGCAUGACCAAUUUUGCAACUGUCAUUUCCAUAGUAUCUUUUUCCCUAUCAGUGUCACCAACAGCGACAGGAAUAAACAUGCAUGGGUGAGCCAAUUCAAAUAAAAGUUUUGAGGUACCUACGAAGCAGGUCUGGGAACCAUAGACCUUGUUGCUGUCGCCUUGUAACUCACUCUUUCACGUGAACCUGCUAAGCAAUCAUGAUUCUCCUAAGGGGUUGAAUGAGGAGACCAGCAUCCUCUGGUGUGACUGGACGAUGCUGUUGAUAGUAGGUCACUACCAGUUAUCAACUGCCAGGCAUUCUUCCAAGUGCUUCCUGGUGUUUGGCGACUCACAGUAGAAAUGAGCUAUGUUCAGAGUUUCUUUUUUCUUUUUUCUUUUUUGAGACAGAGUUUCGCUCUCAUUACCCAGGCUGGAGUGCAAUGGUGCGAUCUCGGCUCACCGCAACCUCCACCUCCUGGGUUCAGGCAAUUCUCCUGCCUCAGCCUCCUGAGUAGCUGGGAUUACAGGCAUGCGCCACCAUGCCCAGCUAAUUUUUGUAUUUUUAGUAGAGAUGGGGUUUCACCAUGUUGACCAGGAUGGUCUCGAUUUCUUGACCUCGUGAUCCACCCACCUCGGCCUCCCAAAGUGCUGGGAUUACAGGUGUAAGCCACCGCACCCGGCCUCAGAGUUUCUUACUUACAAUGUGAUCAUUGUGUCUGUCUCUGAAUUCCAUCGUGGUGUCUCUGAUUUUUAUCUUGGGCCUUAUUUCUGGUGCUCAGAGUUCUUGCAAACACCCGAAACUGAAAAGUGGCUUUGCAUUUAUGUUUUUGUUACUGUUGAAAUUAUGCUGCCCUAAGGCUUGUCAACUACUUUCAGAGAGGAAAAAAACCUAGUGGUAGGUGCUGUAUCCCAUUCUUCAAAGAAAACGUAGCUAGUAUUUGCUAAACCAACUAGGAGACCCAUUUUAACUAAAAUCGUUUUGGCUACCAAGAUAAAAUGAAUGAAAAAGCUUGGUGACUAAAAAACUUCACCUAGAACAAUAAGCAAGCGGGAAAGGCCAGAAAAGGAAAACAAAUGAUAGUGACUUUUCAAUUAUAUUCAAAUUAAAAGGAAUGAUGGCAGUUUUUCUAAAUGACCGUUUCUUUGGUGGCUCUUGGCAUGUGUGGUUCUGCAGUCCCACAGUUUCAAAUUGUUUUGCACAGAUUCAAGGUGGGUGGACAGUGAAGCGGAGCAGCGUCGGCCUUUUAGCUGAUGAUUAUUGAUGAUUGCUCUCUAUUCACCCAUGAAAUCAACAAAUACAGCAAGGAACUGCCCUCAUGGAGCUAGUCCUCUAGCUGGGGAGACCAGCAAAAACCUACUAAGUAGAAUACGCAUAAUAUGUCUGGAUAUAGGUGAGUGCUAUGGCUGCAAAGGGUUGACCUGAGAGGCCUUCAGGAAGGGAGGAAGCUGACCAACGUGUGGGAAGAGCAGGCCAAACCUAGAGACCCACGGCGGGGGUUGGGGGAGCUCAUUUCAGGAAAAUAAGCUGGAGAAAACGGUGACUCAGUGACGGCAAAUACACGGAACUCUAGUGAAAUCAUGAAAUCUCAAUGCCUUUGUGAAAAAUGGUAAUCCCAGCUACUCGGGAGGCUGAGGCAGGAGAAUUGCCUGAACCCAGGAGGCGGAGGUUGCUGUGAACCGAGAUCGCGCCAUUGCACUCCAGCCUGGUUAACAAGAUCGAAACUCCGUCUCAAAAAAAAAAAAAAAAAGGUCAUGAAGGAAAAGCCAGGUGCUAAAAUGUUUCAGAAUUGAGAGAUUCUCAAAUACUACGUGGCAGGCGCCCUUGGGAGUAUGAAGGCUUGCCAGGCUCCGGUUGGUCCUGUUCUGAGUGGGAUAAGCUUCUUUGGAGGCAUCAGUAUUGGAAGUGUCAGCCGCUUGAUUAGUUUGGCUUGAGGGAGGAUGGGGGUACAUUUCAGAGAUGAGUAGGAGCUUGUCAAGUAAGCAACUGGAGCCAAAGGGUGCUGAGCCUACAAAGGGGCCUGUGAGUGCGUGCUGCUGCUUGGGACCUGCUACUCACAGGCAGGGUGACCACCCCACUUCCCUUUGCCCCUAACUGUCCUGCUUUUAUUAUUAUUAUUUGAAACGGAGUCUUGCUCUGUCACCUAGGCUGGAGUACAGUGGCACAAUCUUGGCUCACUGCAACCUCUACCUCCCGGGGUUCAAGCAAUUGUCCUGCCUCAGCCUCCCAUGUAGCUGGGAUUAUAGGCAGACACUACGUUGCCCAGUUAAUUUUUGUAUUUUUUGUAGAGAUGGGGUUUCACCACAUUGCCCAGACUGGUCUUGAACUUCUGAUCUCAAAUGAUCCACCCACCUCGGCCUCUCAAAGUGUUGGGAUUACAGGCGUAAGCCACUGGGCAUGGCCUGGACUUUUAAAUUAGAUAUGGAAAUGUAAAAGAAACACUUAUUAAAUUAAUUAGUAUACAGUAAGCCAUAAUGAAUCCCUGAAAAAAAUGUCACUUUAGAAAUCCAUUGACAUAGAAAGAUGCUACUCACAUAUUUUUAAGUGGAAAUAAGACGCAAAUUAUUUCUAGA
Callithrix jacchus (white-tufted-ear marmoset) is the source of this 6697-nucleotide long non-coding RNA. RefSeq lists it as uncharacterized. Lineage: Eukaryota; Metazoa; Chordata; Mammalia; Primates; Cebidae. The record is from RefSeq and is a predicted model, not a curated record.